UCAUUCGUUGAGAGGAGAGACAGUUGGCAUCUCCCCUGAUAGGGACAGGAACGGCUUUCGAGCUUACCUGUUACCACACAUCUGGUUAAGGCUACCCAGGAAUCACUAGUUACUGCUAGUUUUA
Molecule: small nuclear RNA, 124 nt
Organism: Papaver somniferum (opium poppy)
Lineage: Eukaryota; Viridiplantae; Streptophyta; Magnoliopsida; Ranunculales; Papaveraceae
Source: RefSeq, a predicted model, not a curated record